GCUGGAUGCGGUGGGUGGUGUGUGCCUGUAGUCCCAGCCACUCAGGAGGCUGAGGCGGGAGGAUCGCCUUAGCCCAGGAGUUCUGGGCUGUAGUGCGCUAUGCUGAUUGGGUGUCCGCACUAAGUUUGGCAUCAAUAUGGUGACCUGGGAGUGGGGGACCACCAGGUUGCCUAAGGAGGGGUGUACCGGCCCAGGUUGCAAACCAAGCAGGUCAAAACUCUCGUUCUGAUCAGUAGUGGGAGCGCGCCUAUGAAUAGACACUGCACUCAGCCUGGGCAACAUAGCCAGACCCCAUCUCA
RNAcentral lists this signal recognition particle RNA (299 nucleotides) under Microcebus murinus (gray mouse lemur). RNAcentral describes it as "Metazoan signal recognition particle RNA (ENSMICG00000035855.2)". It matches the Rfam family "Metazoan signal recognition particle RNA". From Rfam's summary of the family: The signal recognition particle (SRP) is a universally conserved ribonucleoprotein. It is involved in the co-translational targeting of proteins to membranes. The eukaryotic SRP consists of a 300-nucleotide 7S RNA and six proteins: SRPs 72, 68, 54, 19, 14, and 9. Lineage: Eukaryota; Metazoa; Chordata; Mammalia; Primates; Cheirogaleidae. The record is from RNAcentral.